GACGGAGGGUGCAAGCGUUAUCCGGAUUUACUGGGUUUAAAGGGUGCGUAGGCUGUUUAGUAAGUCAAUAGUGAAAACCAGCAGCUUAACUGUUGGCCUGCUAUUGAUACUGCUAGACCAGAGUAUAGUAGAGGUAAGUGGAAUUUUACAUGGAGCAGUGAAAUGCGUAGAUAUGUAGAGGAACGCCAAUAACGAAGGUAACUUACUGGGCUAUUACUGACGCUGAGGCACGAAAGCGUGGGGAGCAAACAGG
This 253-nucleotide ribosomal RNA is filed under the name uncultured bacterium. RNAcentral describes it as "partial 16S ribosomal RNA". It matches the Rfam family "Bacterial small subunit ribosomal RNA", at positions 524 to 776 of the family's 1533-position model. The record is from RNAcentral.